ACAGCUCAAUUUGAAAUCUGGCCCCUCGGGGUCCGAGUUGUAAUUUGUAGAGGAUGCUUUUGGUGAGGUGCCGCCCGAGUUCCCUGGAACGGGACGCCACAGAGGGUGAGAGCCCCGUCUGGCUGGCCACCGAGCCUCUGUAAAGCUCCUUCGACGAGUCGAGUAGUUUGGGAAUGCUGCUCAAAAUGGGAGGUAUAUGUCUUCUAAAGCUAAAUAUUGGCCAGAGACCGAUAGCGCACAAGUAGAGUGAUCGAAAGAUGAAAAGCACCUUGAAAAGAGGGUUAAAUAGUACGUGAAAUUGUUGAAAGGGAAGCGCUUGUGACCAGACUUGGGCGCGGCGGAUCAUCCGGGGUUCUCUCCGGUGCACUUCGCCGCGUCUAGGCCAGCAUCAGUUCGUCGCGGGGGAAAAAGGUUUCGGGAACGUGGCUCCUCCGGGAGUGUUAUAGCCCGUUGCAUAAUACCCUGCGGUGGACUGAGGACCGCGCAUCUGCAAGGAUGCUGGCGUAAUGGUCACCAGCGACCCGUCUU
This 528-nucleotide ribosomal RNA is filed under the name soil fungal sp. DM097. Its description in RNAcentral is "eukaryotic LSU rRNA". It matches the Rfam family "Eukaryotic large subunit ribosomal RNA", at positions 104 to 655 of the family's 3401-position model. The record is from RNAcentral. Lineage: Eukaryota; Fungi.